RNAcentral lists this small RNA (402 nucleotides) under Vigna angularis var. angularis. RNAcentral's name for it is "Non-protein coding transcript". The record is from RNAcentral. Lineage: Eukaryota; Viridiplantae; Streptophyta; Magnoliopsida; Fabales; Fabaceae.
CCUAACUCUCUCUGCCUUCUCUCUAAAUUUCCAGCUCUUUGAACCUUUCAAUCUUGAGUUGGAGGGUGCUCAGACGUUCAUCUCACUGAAGGCUUCCUUUUGAACCGAUCGCAUUUUUGAUUGGACCGGGUUUGGUUGAGUUCUCAUUUGGUGAGACACCGAGAGUUCUUGUGAGCUUGGUAAUUCGACUCUGAGAUGAUUGUUGAGGAGGUUCCCUUGGAGCAAGAGUUGGAGGAUGCUGAUGAUGCAAUAUAGUAUUUUUAGGAUUUUUAAAUUUAAGUUGGUGUUAUUUUGAAGUACUCUAAACUGAUUAAGUUUUAAGUUCUGUCCUUUUGUGGAUGAUUGUAAUAUCAGCUACUGAACUACUAUUCUACUCUGAAUGUUCUCUUUAUUGUAAUGUGG